GUCGGAGGCUCAACCAACUGAGCCAUCCAGGCGCCCCAGAGUGAAAGGACACAAAGCAAAAUCAGCAAAGAGAAAAGACUCAUGGGCCAAGUCCAGAGGAAACCAGACACAAGCUGCUAUGAAUCCUCUCCCAGUGGAGUCACACAGGAUGUGCUUACUUCUCCUGGCAGUGAAUUGUGACAACAUGCAUUAAACAUCUACUGGGACACUCAUUACAGAA
Suricata suricatta (meerkat) is the source of this 220-nucleotide long non-coding RNA. RefSeq lists it as uncharacterized. The record is from RefSeq and is a predicted model, not a curated record. NCBI's taxonomy places the organism in Eukaryota, Metazoa, Chordata, Mammalia, Carnivora, Herpestidae. The transcript has 2 exons.